AGCAGCCGCGGUAAUUCCAGCUCCAAUAGCGUAUAUUAAAGUUGUUGCAGUUAAAAAGCUCGUAGUUGAAUUUCGGGGUUAGUAGAUUGGUCGUGCCACUGGUAUGUACUGGUCUCACUGGCUCCUCCCUCCUGAUGAACCGUAAUGCCAUUAAUUUGGUGUUGCGGGGAGACUGGACUGUUACUUUGAAAAAAUUAGAGUGUUUAAAGCAGGCUAACGCUUGAAUCCAUUAGCAUGGAAUAAUGAAAUAGGACGUUCGAUCUUAUUUUGUUGGUUUCUAAGAUUGACGUAAUGAUUAAUAGGGAUAGUUGGGGGCGUUAGUAUUCAAUUGUCAGAGGUGAAAUUCUUGGAUUUAUUGAAGACUAACUACUGCGAAAGCAUUUGCCAAGGAUGUUUUCAUUAAUCAAGAACGAAAGUUAGGGGAUCGAAGACGAUCAGAUACCGUCGUAGUCUUAACCAUAAACUAUGCCGACUAGGGAUCGGAUGAUGUUAAUUUUUUAAUGACUCAUUCGGCGCC
RNAcentral lists this small RNA (517 nucleotides) under uncultured Glomus. RNAcentral describes it as "SSU rRNA". It matches the Rfam family "Eukaryotic small subunit ribosomal RNA", at positions 569 to 1087 of the family's 1831-position model. Lineage: Eukaryota; Fungi; Glomeromycota; Glomeromycetes; Glomerales; Glomeraceae. The record is from RNAcentral.